GGCUGCAACUCGCCUAUAUGAAGUUGGAAUUGCUAGUAAUCGCGGAUCAGCAUGCCGCGGUGAAUACGUUCCCGGGCCUUGUACACACCGCCCGUCACACCAUGGGAGUCGGUAACACCCGAAGCCUGUAGUCUAACCGCAAGGAGGACGCAGUCGAAGGUGGGAUUGAUGACUGGGGUGAAGUCGUAACAAGGUAGC
This 198-nucleotide ribosomal RNA is filed under the name uncultured bacterium. RNAcentral describes it as "partial 16S ribosomal RNA". It matches the Rfam family "Bacterial small subunit ribosomal RNA", at positions 1303 to 1500 of the family's 1533-position model. The record is from RNAcentral.